AGAGACUUAGGGAUAAACCAGGGCACCGGGCUCCUUUGCAAAAUGCUAAAGUCUUAAACAGAGGGUAGGGCCAAAGAGGGCAUUUCAGGCAUCAGGAGGUGCACACCUUUCUGAAGGGCUGCAAACGUACAUCUACACCAUCUACACUGAGCAGAGGAGGGCUGUGGACGAUGUCCUGACCUCCAAUUUGAUUAGUGUAACAUAGACAGCAGGCGUCCCCUUAGCCACACGGGAUAGUUCCAAGACUCCUCCCAGUGGAUGCCUGAAACCUUGGACAUAGGUCAUGUAAAUUACCUACACACACAUACCUAUGAUAAAGGUAAUUUAGUGUAUAAAUUAGGCAAGUAAGAUAUUGACAACAAUAAAUAAUAAGAUGGAAACAAUUAUGACAAUAUAUUGUAAUAAAAGCUAUGGAACAUGGCCUCCCUCUCUGAUAACUGACUGAUCAUUGAGAGGGCCACUGAGUGACUAAAAGGGAGGUCACAGGGUGGAUGCUCAGGACAGGAAUGACCCCCAUCCCGGGAAGGAACUGGAUGGCACAAGAUUCUCUCACACUCCUCAGAACAGCGUGCAAUUUAAAGCUUGUGAGCUGUUGAUUUCUGGAAUUUUCCAUUUAAUAUUUUCAGACCACAGUUGACCCUGGGUAACUGAAACCUUGGAAAGCAAGACACUGGGGAGAGGGGGGGACUACUGCAUUAUGCAAAGCUCACUAAGGGCCAAGUACGGAAUUCUCUCCAUUUCCCCAACUCGUUGGGACUUGCCUCCCAAAUCCUUUUACUUGAAGUGACCUUGGACCAGCCACAUCCCAUCCCAGGACCUCGGUGCCCCCAUCUGCACAACAAGAAUUACAAGUUCCCCAUCUGCCAAGACACAUCAAACCUAAUCGAAAAGGAUGCGAUUACUAGUUCGGUGAGAGUAUUCAGUAACCGGCAAGUGCCAGGAAAAAUGACUGAUAACACUUAUUUCUCCACCUCCAAGUCAAAACCUCCCGGUCGCUGCAAGCUUUUCUGAGCGGUUCCGGGAAAGGCGUGGUCAGCCACUGGGAGCCACGCCCCCGAGCAGCAGGGCGGCCUUCGCCGCGCCCAACUCUGCGGCCCAAGGUCGCCGUAGGAAGUAGUUCCGGCUCAAGCUAGGCCGAUGGGUCCCUCCGCAGCAGGCAAAAUAAGAUGGCGACCUCGUCGAUGCCGGAGUCGGAGAGAAACGCGGCCACGGAAGCGUCAGAGUGAAGGCCCCGGCCCCUGCACACCCUGGUCG
This is a long non-coding RNA of Myotis davidii, 1254 nucleotides long. RefSeq lists it as uncharacterized. The record is from RefSeq and is a predicted model, not a curated record. Lineage: Eukaryota; Metazoa; Chordata; Mammalia; Chiroptera; Vespertilionidae. The transcript has 3 exons.